GGCUUAUUGGUCUAGAGGUAUGAUUCUUGCUUCAGGUGCAAGAGGCCCCAGGUUAGAGUUCUGGAUGAACCC
RNAcentral lists this transfer RNA (72 nucleotides) under Loxodonta africana (African savanna elephant). It matches the Rfam family "tRNA". Rfam says of the family: Transfer RNA (tRNA) molecules are approximately 80 nucleotides in length. The record is from Rfam by way of RNAcentral. Lineage: Eukaryota; Metazoa; Chordata; Mammalia; Proboscidea; Elephantidae.